CCUACGGGUGGCAGCAGUGGGGAAUAUUGCACAAUGGGCGCAAGCCUGAUGCAGCCAUGCCGCGUGUGUGAAGAAGGCCUUCGGGUUGUAAAGCACUUUCAGCGGGGAGGAAGGCGUUAAGGUUAAUAACCUUGUCGAGUGACGUUACCCGCAGAAGAAGCACCGGCUAACUCCGUGCCAGCAGCCGCGGUAAUACGGAGGGUGCAAGCGUUAAUCGGAAUUACUGGGCGUAAAGCGCACGCAGGCGGUCUGUCAAGUCGGAUGUGAAAUCCCCGGGCUCAACCUGGGAACUGCAUUCGAACCUGGCAGGCUAGAGUCUUGUAGGGGGGGGUAGAAUUCCAGGUGUAGCGGUGAAAUGCGUAGAGAUCUGGAGGAAUACCGGUGGCGAAGGCGGCCCCCUGGACAAAGACUGACGCUCAGGUGCGAAAGCGUGGGGAGCAAACAGGAUUAGAUACCCUUGUAGUC
RNAcentral lists this ribosomal RNA (465 nucleotides) under uncultured Klebsiella sp. Its description in RNAcentral is "bacterial SSU rRNA". It matches the Rfam family "Bacterial small subunit ribosomal RNA", at positions 338 to 795 of the family's 1533-position model. Lineage: Bacteria; Pseudomonadati; Pseudomonadota; Gammaproteobacteria; Enterobacterales; Enterobacteriaceae. The record is from RNAcentral.